RNAcentral lists this small RNA (5585 nucleotides) under Pongo abelii (Sumatran orangutan). RNAcentral's name for it is "processed transcript". Lineage: Eukaryota; Metazoa; Chordata; Mammalia; Primates; Hominidae. The record is from RNAcentral.
AAUGCUCCCUCAGACACUUAGUGAGGAAGCGUAAUUGGGAGACCACUGCAGGAACUGAGGUCCUGAAGGGGCCUGCAACAGCCCUCCCCUAGGGGAGCUCCCACUACUGGGGGAGACAGGCCAGAUGAGACUACCAAGAAGUCACACCCCUGCCUUCCCACAGGGAGCAGUGCUGGAUUUAGGUGGAGGUCAAGUGGCCCGAGGGUGAAGGUUAGAGGGCUCCUGAAGCCAGGCCAGGCUGGGUUCUCUGGCAGGGAGUGGGCGCCCAAGCCCAGGAUCACUGCCUUCUUGGUGGGAGUCUCCUAUACCAUCCUUCCCCUGUGCUCAACCCCUCCAGGAUCAUAGGGGCCACCCAGUUGUCUUGCUAGUAGGGGCCCUCUUUAUCCUUGAGAAGGUACAGGUUGAGACAGUGUUCGUGUCUUGCUUUUUUGGGCUGGGCCACCUUGGUCCCAUUCUUCUGGAUGCUCCUGGGAUUCAGGAAGUGAGGUCUUUGAAAUGAACCUUCAGGCUGCAAUUAACCCUAAGGAUUUACUGCAGCUUACAAAGAAGCUUUUUCUUUUCAGAGCUGUUGGCCAGGGGCCAGGGCUGUCCCCACUCCCAUCUGGUCCUGGCGGUCUGCCCUUGAGGCUGGGGCAAUAUGAGGAGUGUGCAGGCAAGUCCAAGGCUAUGACUCCCAUCAUGUCUCCAGGCUCCAGGUGUCUUCCUAGGUUGCCUGCCUGGUAACAACUGUAGUCAGUGUCUCACAGGCCCCAAAGCUCAGCUAAGUCUCCUCACCUGGGAAAAGGCUUCCUUCAUGGGCCCACUCCUCCCUGAUUCCCUUGUGUGCCUGAGAUCUUUUAACAAUAGUUCCCAUCACCGGGCAGUGAGUAGAUGCCUCAUACAGGGAAACCCCUCACUGCUGUACCAUGAUGAUUACAGGACAAGGACUUGGAGCCAGAUAGACCAGGAUCUGACCCCAGUUCAGCCAAUUACUAUCUGUCACCUUGGGCAAGCUGCUUAACCUCUCUGAACCUCAGUUUCCAAAUCUGUCAGUCAGGAUAAUAGUUCUUAUGGCCUGGGGUUGUGCAGGAAUGGAAUGGGAUAAUGCAUGGACUCCACAGAGUAAAUCAUGUAUGUGAUAGUGACAUUAUUUCUUCUUUAAAUGUCACUGUGACUUACUCUACUACCUUGAGGUCUGGUUCAGAAGUUCUGGUAAGAAGUUACAGGGUGAUCCUGUGAGUUUGCAUAGAGAAAGCACUCAGACACGGGCUGCAGGAACUGUGGCCACAUUUGAGAGCACUUGAGCUACUGCCACACACUCCAGAAUAUCUGGAGGCAGGAACAGAGAAGGGGAGGUUGUGCAUAGUAUAUUCCAGGCUCUGUGCUAGAUCCUUUGCAUUGGAGGCUUCAGUUAAUACAAAUUGUUUGUGGUAAGAUAGCAUUAUCUCCAAGCCUAGAGAGGCCAUGAGACUUGCCUGAGGCCAAAAUCUAGUAUGGUAGAAGCUGCUAGUCUCCAAUAACUUUCUACUAUUUUAUCAGGGUAAGAAAAGUUGUAGCAGGAAACAUGGCUGCCCAGAAUGAAGACUGCAUUUCCCAGUCUCCUGUGUGGGUAGGCAUGGUCACAUGACUGAGUUCUGGCCAAAGAGAAGUAAGUAGACGCGUUAUGCAGCAGUGUCUGGGAACCUUUCUUAAGACACAGGUUGUGCAUCUGCUGUCUGCUCCUUCUUCUUUAUCCCUCCCUCUGUUUUGCUACUUGGUAGGCAGGUGCUACCUUGAACCAUGAGGGCAAGGGCCACUCAAUAACAACACAAUAGCUGCUGUUGUGAAUUUUCCAUUACUCUCAUUUCUACCUCAUCUUAACUGAGAUGCCCUGUGAUAGAGUGGGGGAUUCGAACCUGAGUCAGUGAGCUGUUUCUCAACACAAUGCGAGGUUUCUGGGUCCCCUGUGUGCUCCUGCUGUACCUCAGCAGCUCUUAGGUGUGAAGCAUUCCUUAGAACUCUGAUGAGGUGGUGUUGAAGGAAGGGAGCCACUCUAAUGCAGCUUUUUGAACUCAUCCAUUCCAAAGAUGGCUCAGGGCCUUUGCUAGAUCCAGAGGCAGCUUGAGGGUGAAAGUCCAGGGCCUUGAGAGGGUAGAAGAGGUGACACUUCUAAGAUCCAGGAAACCCCAGCCUCUGCCACAAGACUGGCUGCACAGCUACCCCUGUGGCAGGUGAAGGCAGUGCUCAGGUAGUCCCGGGACUCUUUCUAAACUUCUCCGUCCUGGCCCUCAAUGUCCUCUGACAGACUCUAGCUUGCUGGGACACCUCUAAGGAAACUGCCAAGGGAAACUGCAGAAGCAGGAGCAGGUGAGAAGUGCCCCGGGUGUCCUCUUUCCAUGGGGGAAUUUGGAGAAGCAUUCUGAGCCCAGCAAAGUGUCAGGCAGGCAAGGUAAGGCCUCACCUGAUAGGAGGUAUAUCCUUGUACCUAGUCUCAGCAAGGAAGGUUGCCAGCUUCACGACUGUGUUGAGUUAAAAGGGCUGUAAGAUCCUUGGUAAACAACCAGAGCCUGAAUGUCACAGGGAAGAAGUUGGACUGGGACCCAAGACAGCUGGCUAUGUAUCUGGGAAAAUGCUAUUUAUAAACAGAGAAGAUAUUUAUUGGCUGGACAAUCCUGAGGAAGUCUCCCACCCUCUCAUUCUCAUUCAUAAAGUGGGGAUCAUGAUCACUACCUUUCAAGGUUGCUGUAACAUUGAAUGAGGUAAUGAAUAUGAAAACACUCAAAAUCUAUAAAGUAUCUACAAACCUGGAAGAUUAUAAUUCUGCAUUUGUACAGUAGAAAUAACAGUACCAUGGUUGCUAUUAGUGCCCAGCCAAACCCCCUUUACUGGUCUGGUACAACCCUCCAUCCCUGUCCACCGGCUGCUGUGAGGUUUGGCUGGUAACAGUUCACAGUUAUUCCCUCUGCAGAGACUUCCCCGGGAAUAGAAGCUGCCUUGCUUGGGGCUUGCAGCCAAUGCUUGUCUGACACAGGGGCAGGAAAGGCCAGUCCCCUACCUCAAGACAAGAUGAACUCUGGUGUAGCACAUGCUCCAGGGCUCCCCAUGAAAUCAGGCCAUGGCUCAGCCACAGCUGACACCACAGCCUGGCUCCCUCCUUCCCCACCCCACUCUCCUUCCUUUUCUUUCUUCUGAGGGUUCUUCCCCAAUAGAGGAAGAUGUGCACUGAAAUCUGUCCCAGCCUCUGCUUUUAAGGAAUCUGGCCCAAUUGUCUGCCUUACAAAGUUGCUAUGAGGCUUAAAUAAUAUAAUACAGAUAAAGAGAUUAGCCCAGUGCCUGGCAUAUAUAGUGCAUAUCCAAUUAAUGUUAAAGAUUGCCAUUAUCCAUGAGACUGGAGCAUCAGGAAAGUCUUAGUGUAAUAGUGAGGUGUGGAAAUCUGGUGAGUGAGUUAGCGGAUUGAAUUUUACAUGCUUAGGGACUGGGGCGGGCAGAGAGAAGGGCAGCUGGGUUUCCUUGGGUAUCACUGGUUCUCUGCUUUGGGCAGUAAGGGUCCUUUACACAGCUAGGAAAAAGUUCCAGUCAUUACAUACUUAUACCAGCAGAGGACGCCACUUCCAUACAAAUAAGUGUUUUCCUCUGCUAUCUGAUGCAGCUUUCAUCAAAGCAGUCUAGGCUGGCAGGAAAGAUCAGGUACAUGACAGAGCAGAAAGUGCCUUCAGAUUUGCACAGAUAAUAGGAGAGGGCAGAACAGAGAGAAACAGUGAGUUAAGCUGUUCAGGAAGCUUCCUGGGAUGUGAGGCCUUGAGCGGGGCACUCAAGCACCAGGAGUAUUGAGUGGAGAUGGCAUUCCCAGGGAAGCCACUACCCUAGGCAAGGUGACCAGGGCCUGAGCCAGGGCCGUGGCAGGGAGGCAGCCACGAGAGGGUAUGAAGGACAGGGACAGGACUGAUUUCAGCUGAGAGGUCUAGAAGGAGAUCAUGGGCCCACCAACAUGAGGUAGAAGUCAGGAAGGAGCACAUUUUUAUAGGACACAGCACACUUCUCCAACUGGUCUGACUGCCCUGUUACAAUGUCCUCUGCAAGCCAUCAUUCUGUAGGAUUCCUGUUUUGUGUGGAUUCUAGAAACCAGUGAAAUAUUCAGAGGUGUUAAUAGCAUCAAGAUUUCACUGGUUCUUUCCAUUCUUUUUAUUUUUAUUUUUUGAGAUGGGGUCUCAGUCCCUGCCCCAGGCUGGAGUGCAGUGGCACCAUCACAGCUCACCACAGGGCUCAGGUGAUCCUCCUGCCUCAGCCUCCUGAGUAGCUGAGACCAUAGAAUGGCUACAGGGGGCUAGCGGAUUUUUCCCCAGGUAACAUGAGGAUAUUUUUUUCCAGUCUUCAACAUGAGAACCUGGUGGACUUCUAGGGGUUUCAUGGUCCUGCUGAUGAUCCCAUGGGGCUCUGCUGCAAAACUGGUCUGCUACUUCACCAACUGGGCCCAAUACAGACAGGGGGAGGCUCGCUUCCUGCCCAAGGACGUGGACCCCAGUCUUUGCACCCACCUCAUCUAUGCCUUCGCUGGCAUGACCAACCAUCAGCUGAGCACCGUUGAGUGGAAUGACGAGACUCUCUACCAGGAGUUCAAUGGCCUGAAGAAGAUGAAUCCCAAGCUGAAGACCCUGUUAGCCAUCGGAGGCUGGAAUUUCGGCACUCAGAAGUUCACAGAUAUGGUAGCCACAGCCAAAAACCGUCAGACGUUUGUCAACUCGGCCAUCAGGUUUCUGCGCAAAUACGGCUUUGACGGCCUUGACCUUGACUGGGAGUACCCUGGAAGCCGGGGGAGCCCUGCCGUAGACAAGGAGCGCUUCACAGCCCUGGUACAGGAACCUGGAUUUUGUCAACCUUAUGGCCUACGACUUCCAUGGCUCUUGGGAGAAGGUCACGGGACAUAACAGCCCCCUCUACAAGAGGCAAGAGGAGAGUGGUGCAGCAGCCAGCCUCAACGUGGAUGCUGCUGUGCAACUGUGGCUGCAGAAGGGGACCCCUGCCAGCAAGCUGAUCCUUGGCAUGCCUACCUACGGACGCUCCUUCACCCUGGCCUCCUCAUCAGACACCAGAGUGGGGGCCCCAGCCACAGGGUCUGGCACUCCCGGCCCCUUCACCAAGGAAGGAGGGAUGCUGGCCUACUAUGAGGUCUGCUCCUGGAAGGGGGCCACCAAACAGAGAAUCCAGGACCAGGAGGUGCCCUACAUCUUCCGGGACAACCAGUGGGUGGGCUUUGAUGAUGUGGAGAGCUUCAAAACCAAGGUCAGCUAUCUGAAGCAGAAGGGACUGGGCGGGGCCAUGGUCUGGGCACUGGACUUAGAUGACUUUGCCAGCUUCUCCUGCAACCAGGGCCGAUACCCCCUCAUCCAGACGCUGCGGCGGGAACUGAGUGCAGAAACCACUUAGAGGAUUUCCAGACUGAAGUGCUAUUUCAUGACAAGCACACUACUCUCCCAAGCCCUUCUAUUGAAUACCACUGACUCUUUUAAUAUUAGUGUCCAGUCAUUAGUCCUGUCCUUCAAAGGGACAGGGGAAUUAACAUUUGUUGCAUAACCAGAGACCAUACUAAGCAUGUAUUAGACAUCCAGUAAAUAGUUACUGAAUGAAUA